RNAcentral lists this long non-coding RNA (205 nucleotides) under Citrus sinensis (sweet orange). Its description in RNAcentral is "long non-coding RNA (CSIN_LNC005319)". The record is from RNAcentral. Lineage: Eukaryota; Viridiplantae; Streptophyta; Magnoliopsida; Sapindales; Rutaceae.
GAAUAUGAGUAGAAUGAUUGUUUUUGAAAUCAUUAGACAGUACCCUUCCCUCCAGAUACAGUGAUACAGAUGAAAGGCCUUUGGGGCCCGUCUGAACACACAUAGAGGCUUUGGGCCGUGUGUUUGGGCGCUUUUGCCUUUUGGGGGCAUAUGCAUGCGGUAUGAUAAGUACAGAUAUACUGAUAUGAGAUGCAGACAGCUGUUG